AUGCUUUUCCUAAAGAUUAAGCCAUGCAUGUCUAAGACUAUGGAGGAUACUAUUCUCUCUCUGAAUCUGCGAACGGCUCCGUAAACCAGUUGUAAACCACAGCAAGCCUGCGACGGUCGGACUCCGGUCUGGCCUGAGCGAUACGGAUAACCCUGGUAAUUCUAAGGCUAAUACGUGUAUGUAACACCCGGUGGACCGGCUUCGGCUGGGAAAUCGGGAGACGAGUGAUGGAAUGUUUGGAUUACCAGGAACGGGCA
RNAcentral lists this ribosomal RNA (257 nucleotides) under uncultured Lamproderma sp. Its description in RNAcentral is "partial 18S ribosomal RNA". It matches the Rfam family "Eukaryotic small subunit ribosomal RNA", at positions 28 to 231 of the family's 1831-position model. Lineage: Eukaryota; Evosea; Eumycetozoa; Stemonitida. The record is from RNAcentral.